RNAcentral lists this ribosomal RNA (429 nucleotides) under Actinomycetes bacterium. Its description in RNAcentral is "Actinobacteria bacterium partial 16S ribosomal RNA". It matches the Rfam family "Bacterial small subunit ribosomal RNA", at positions 355 to 776 of the family's 1533-position model. The record is from RNAcentral. Lineage: Bacteria; Bacillati; Actinomycetota; Actinomycetes.
UAGGGAAUCUUCCGCAAUGGGCGAAAGCCUGACGGAGCAACGCCGCGUGAGUGAUGAAGGUCUUCGGAUCGUAAAACUCUGUUAUUAGGGAAGAACAAAUGUGUAAGUAACUAUGCACGUCUUGACGGUACCUAAUCAGAAAGCCACGGCUAACUACGUGCCAGCAGCCGCGGUAAUACGUAGGUGGCAAGCGUUAUCCGGAAUUAUUGGGCGUAAAGCGCGCGUAGGCGGUUUUUUAAGUCUGAUGUGAAAGCCCACGGCUCAACCGUGGAGGGUCAUUGGAAACUGGGAAACUUGAGUGCAGAAGAGGAAGGUGGAAUUCCAUGUGUAGCGGUGAAAUGCGCAAAGAUAUGGAGGAACCCCAGUGGCGAAGGCGACUUUCUGGUCUGUAACUGACGCUGAUGUGCGAAAGCGUGGGGAUCAAACAGG